AGGUAAAAAGUACAUUAUUUUCUUUAGGAAUGUAGUGAAGUAAAAGUUGGCAAUAAUAUAAAUUGUACAGAUACACAAACUACUUAAGUCAAAAUACUUGAAAGUGCUUCUUAAACUUUGCACAAAUGCUCAAUUGCUACAACAGAGAGAGCGAGCCAGUGCAGCGUUAUGUAUAUCUUUUAACUUACGAAGUGUUUAUGAUUAGCCAUAGUGACAAAAAAGAGCACCUUAUUAUUGCUCAAUAUGUAUUUUCGUAAACAUGAAAAUUAUCACUCAAAAAAAUUGUACCAACAAGUAGGGCGUGUAGUUUCAUUUCUGACUCACUUGCACUUCGUAUCAUUUUGCAAAGCGUAACGGGCAGCAGAUCGAUCACUCAAGUAUUGUCAACAUAUUUUUACAAACAACAGGGCGUGUAGUUUCAUUUCUGACUCACUUGCACUAUGUACCAUCUUGGAAAGCGAAACUGACAGCGAACAGGCCUGGGCCUGUUUAAAGAGCAGCUCGCGGAAUUCCCCAACACUGAUCCGCAGAGACGAGGACAGUAACAGAGCGAAUCGUUACUGUCAACCAGACAACAAGGACUACAGAAAUACGCGUAUUUAAAAGUUUUAUGUCAUCUGCAAUUGGACCCUAAAUCCCAUCAAAAAUAUUCACACGUCCAGCAAAGUGGACCAAUAGUAAUUCAGCCUGAAUGGAAAACCCAAACAGGGGCAGGAGAGGUAGAGGAGCCAACCAUGUCCAUCACAGAAUAGGUGCUGAGGCUGGUCAGAGAGAAGAGGAAGGGAUAGCCAACCGAGGGGGAAGAGGUAGGGGGGCCAGGGGAGAGAGGAGAGGUGUUAAUGGGGGGAACCCAAGGGAGGAUAGGAGAGCGCGAGAUGCCAGGG
Oncorhynchus mykiss (rainbow trout) is the source of this 884-nucleotide non-coding RNA. The record is from RefSeq and is a predicted model, not a curated record. Lineage: Eukaryota; Metazoa; Chordata; Actinopteri; Salmoniformes; Salmonidae.